This 392-nucleotide ribosomal RNA is filed under the name uncultured bacterium. RNAcentral describes it as "bacterial SSU rRNA". It matches the Rfam family "Bacterial small subunit ribosomal RNA", at positions 29 to 416 of the family's 1533-position model. The record is from RNAcentral.
AAUUAACGCUGGCAGAGUGCAUAACACAUGCAAGUCGAGCGGAAACCGUAGCAAUACGGUUUUAGCGGCAGACGAGUGAGUAACACGUAGAUAAUCUGCCCUUCAAAGGCGAAUAACCAGCCGAAAGGUUGGCUAAUGCGCCGUACACUCCCCUGAAGGCAUCGUUCGGGGGAAGAGAGAUCCGCAAGGAUCGUUGAAGGAGGAAUCUGCGGCCCAUCAGCUAGNGGCGGUGUAACGGACCACCAAGGCUACGACGGGUACCGGCCUGAAAGGGCGGACGGGCACGAUGGCACUGAGACACGGGCCAUACUCCUACGGGAGGCAGCAGGUGGGGAAUUUUGGACAAGUGGGCGAAAGCCUGAUCCAGCAACUCUGCGUGAGGGACGAAGGUC